AUGUUAUGUAAAAUGCACUAUAUAAAUAAAAUCUAGAAGUCAGGAUUGACUUUGUGCACAAAAUUAUAAUAAGGUAAGUGAAUACUUAUGUGUAUAGUAAUAUAUAUGGCGCUUUAUCUACUUUAUUGAGUUUGAAUUAACAUUGUAUCAUAAAACAAAUUUAUUUUAUCGGUGUAUGUUAACUGUCUUCAUAUGUCUUUUGAUUGAGUUAAGCUAUUUCAGGCGAUAUUGCAUAGUGUGUCUUUCUAUGUCGUGUCAGAUAAGGGCAAAAGUUCAUAUUCAAACGUUUACAAAUGUUGACCUGGAUAAAGAGUUGUCUCAUUGGCACUCAUACCACAUCUUCUUAGAUCUUUUUACUUUCAGUUUUAUUAGGUUUCAUAACAAAAAUGAAAGUUGGGUUGUGAACUCACUUAUUACCUUAUUACUCAAAUACAUUAAAAACAACAUUUAGAAUGUUUUCUUUACAAAUGUAAUAAAUCUAACAUUUGUUUUUUUCUCAAAUUUAUGAAAAUGGAGAGCAAAGGAGAGAUAAGUAAAUAUUCGGGAAUCAAUAUUUCAGCGAUUUGACAAAGAAACACGUUUUUAAAGAUUAAUUGAUAUAUUUGACCGUGAUAUUCAUUCCAUAUAUAUCGGAAGAACGAAAUUAUUAUGGCAAAUGUAAAGUACGAAUGACUACAGAUGUUGUAUAUUGUCACGUGAUUAGAAUUUGUAACUGUGUUUUGCCUCUUUUGUGCUUUCUCCAAAAACAUAUAUCCGAUAACUCAAGAUAUUGAUAUGUUGGAAUGUUAAUAAUUUGUCAAAAUAUUUUUAUCUGAAAAACGAGAUUGAAAUUCAUAUGAUGAUUAAAUAGGUUUGAUCAAAAUGAUGGCAAUGUUCUGUUAUUCCUCAGUGGAAAAAAACGUACUCCGGCUUGUUCCACCAUUAAAAGAGGGGCGAAAGAUACCUGAGGGACAUUCAAACCUAUCUAAGAAAGAGAAAAAAAUAUGUAUUCGAAAUAAUUUGAAAUUCUAUCAUUUCCAGAUAUAAAUACCACCAAAUUUAUACUACUUGUAUUUAAAUAGAUCAUUAUUUACUCAAUCAUAUAAUAUUUUAUAUUAAUGAGUUACAGAAUGUAUUUAAAAUGAAAUCAUGAAUGUGUAGUAGAAUUUACUUUGAGGUCGGAAUAAACAAACCAGAGUUAUUGCCUUGUGUUCUUCUUCAGGGGUAAAUUCAUUAAAAAAAGAUCUAUUAGACUUCAAUGCAAACCUAUUUCUUGAUUUUCAUUCCUACCUGAUUUACUUUUAGAAAUCAGAAACUUUCAUAUAUAAUUCAUAGAAGUUUCACAUGGCCGUGUUCACAAACACUGUUAUGUAGGAUCGCACCAAGUUGCUACUCUGACCCGUUACCUUUUAUAUCUGUAGUAAAAACAAUUUUGUUUUUAUUUUCAGUUAUAGACGAUGCAUUAUAGAUAUGUGUUUAUGUUUUGUGUGUAUUUAGGAGUAAUUGAAACAGAGGUGGUAAACAAUUUUAGUAGUUUUUCCAGAUGUGGUCGAUUCUUUUACAAAGGACAACGACCAAGUAUCAGGAAUUCUACUGGAGAUAUUGUUUACAUAUGUCAAAAGUACAAUGAUCAGUAUUUCUAUGCUACUGUCUAUGAUAAAACUAAUAGAAUUCCAAUAUACAGUGCAGUACAACUUAUCCAGCCUGAUCAAAACAGAAACGACAAGCGUCUCGGUGACAAAUUUUUUAUCGAACCAAACCUUGCAGAUAGAGGCGGAGGAAAUAUGAUUGAGGUUAAUAACCUUGAACAUAAUUUGAACAAUGUGCAUAGCGCAAAGUUUGGACAAUAUCAAGCACUGGAUAUAGACUACAAAGACAGUGGUUACGACAGAGGACAUUUAAAUCCCCAAAUAUUCAACACACAAAACGAAAACAGUAGAUAUGCAACCAACACGCUCACUAAUAUUGCUCCUCAAUAUGGACCAUUCAACCAGGGAACAUGGAAUAUUAUGGAGAAUGGUCUUUUGAACGCUGUAAGAGAUAAAUGUAAGUUUCCUGGAGCAAAAAGCUAUGUUGUCAUAGGAGUACAACCUAGCAACGAUAAAUUCAUUACGCGAAAAAUAGAAAAGACUGUAACAACACCCAGGGGGAAACAAAAAACUAAAAACGAAUAUGAAAACAGAGUGAAUGUACCGGAUUUUUAUUGGACUGCGAUUUGUUGUGAUACAUCCAUGGCAACUCAUCAUACAGAUAUGGGAUGGUCUUUUGGAUAUAAAGCGAAUAACAUUAAUGAGAGUUCGGUACUCGUUUCUUUUUACCCUGUUCACGAUUUUCUAUCGAAUCUUUACUCACAAAUAUUUGCUGACUAUAAAGUUAGUGAUGUGUAUACUGUACAUGGAUGUGAAUUCAAUAGAAACAAUACUAUAAGAAUCAUCAGGCACAUUAAGGACAGUAUUAAACAAGGUCCAAUAUUUGAAGCAA
Molecule: long non-coding RNA, 2460 nt
Filed under: Mytilus galloprovincialis (Mediterranean mussel)
Lineage: Eukaryota; Metazoa; Mollusca; Bivalvia; Mytilida; Mytilidae
Source: RNAcentral